This is a small nucleolar RNA of Bufo bufo (common toad), 134 nucleotides long. RefSeq annotates it as small nucleolar RNA SNORA70. The record is from RefSeq and is a predicted model, not a curated record. NCBI's taxonomy places the organism in Eukaryota, Metazoa, Chordata, Amphibia, Anura, Bufonidae. The transcript has a single exon.
UUGCAGCUUAUUAAGCCGACCAGCUUUUGCUGUCAUCUCAAGUUGGUGUGCAAUGGCUGCAUACAGUAACCUCCUGGGUUGUGUAUGUGCUUUGUCUCUCGUACAAAGUGCUUUAAGGGACCUUGGAGACACCA